UACAGAGGUCUCAAGCGUUGUUCGGAUUCAUUGGGCGUAAAGGGCGCGUAGGUGGCGCGCUAAGUCAGGUGUGAAAUCUCGGGGCUUAACUCCGAAACUGCAUUUGAUACUGGCGUGCUUGAGGACUGGAGAGGAGACUGGAAUUCAUGGUGUAGCAGUGAAAUGCGUAGAGAUCAUGAGGAAGACCAGUGGCGAAGGCGGGUCUCUGGACAGUUCCUGACACUGAGGCACGAAGGCCAGGGGAGCAAACGGG
RNAcentral lists this ribosomal RNA (253 nucleotides) under uncultured bacterium. Its description in RNAcentral is "partial 16S ribosomal RNA". It matches the Rfam family "Bacterial small subunit ribosomal RNA", at positions 524 to 776 of the family's 1533-position model. The record is from RNAcentral.